RNAcentral lists this long non-coding RNA (353 nucleotides) under Androctonus crassicauda. Lineage: Eukaryota; Metazoa; Arthropoda; Arachnida; Scorpiones; Buthidae. The record is from RNAcentral.
CUGUGACAUAUAAAAUAAAAAAAAAAAAAAAAUCGAAUUAAAAAAUACAUGUAUAUGCAGUGAUGAUGAAAAUGACCUCAUAGAUUAAAUCACGUAAUAAAAUGUAUGAAAUUCCAUACGAUAAGCUAUCUUACGGGUUUUUCGGUGUGUGUGCAUCGAUUAGCAUAUCGAUAAAUAAGAAUCAAUAUAGAUACGAUUAUAAAAGUGAUAGUUGUGGUAGGAACAAAGAUAUAAGAAUAAGGGCCAGUCACAAACUAGUCGAGGGCAUCGACUGCGAUCUAAGGUCAGAUGCAAUUUCUCUAGCCACGUGAUCAUUUCAUAUGAUAUCGCUAGCUGCGAUUGUUAAAUCUCAU